This 492-nucleotide ribosomal RNA is filed under the name uncultured bacterium. RNAcentral describes it as "partial 16S ribosomal RNA". It matches the Rfam family "Bacterial small subunit ribosomal RNA", at positions 29 to 507 of the family's 1533-position model. The record is from RNAcentral.
AGUGAACGCUGGCGGUAAGCCUAACACAUGCAAGUCGAACGGCAGCACAGUAAGAGCUUGCUCUUACGGGUGGCGAGUGGCGGACGGGUGAGGAAUACAUCGGAAUCUACUUUUUCGUGGGGGAUAACGUAGGGAAACUUACGCUAAUACCGCAUACGACCUACGGGUGAAAGCAGGGGAUCUUCGGACCUUGCGCGAUUGAAUGAGCCGAUGUCGGAUUAGCUAGUUGGCGGGGUAAAGGCCCACCAAGGCGACGAUCCGUAGCUGGUCUGAGAGGAUGAUCAGCCACACUGGAACUGAGACACGGUCCAGACUCCUACGGGAGGCAGCAGUGGGGAAUAUUGGACAAUGGGCGCAAGCCUGAUCCAGCCAUACCGCGUGGGUGAAGAAGGCCUUCGGGUUGUAAAGCCCUUUUGUUGGGAAAGAAAAGCAGCAGGUUAAUACCCCGCUGUUCUGACGGUACCCAAAGAAUAAGCACCGGCUAACUUCGUG